RNAcentral lists this small nucleolar RNA (81 nucleotides) under Sus scrofa (pig). RNAcentral describes it as "Small nucleolar RNA SNORD116 (ENSSSCG00005000615.1)". It matches the Rfam family "Small nucleolar RNA SNORD116", at positions 1 to 81 of the family's 92-position model. From Rfam's summary of the family: HBII-85 is a member of the C/D class of snoRNAs, which contain the C (UGAUGA) and D (CUGA) box motifs. HBII-85 is encoded in a tandemly repeated array with another C/D snoRNA, HBII-52, in the Prader-Willi syndrome (PWS) region of chromosome 15. The record is from RNAcentral. Lineage: Eukaryota; Metazoa; Chordata; Mammalia; Artiodactyla; Suidae.
GGAUCGAUGAUGACACCCACAAACGCAUUCCUUGGAAAAUCUGAACAAAAUGAGUGAGAACUCACUACCGUCUCCUCAUCG